Molecule: ribosomal RNA, 434 nt
Filed under: uncultured Ruminococcus sp.
Lineage: Bacteria; Bacillati; Bacillota; Clostridia; Eubacteriales; Oscillospiraceae
Description: partial 16S ribosomal RNA
Rfam family: Bacterial small subunit ribosomal RNA
Source: RNAcentral
ACGGAAGGCAGCAGUGGGGAAUAUUGCACGAUGGGCGCAAGCCUGAUGCAGCGAUGCCGCGUGAGGGAAGAAGGUUUUCGGAUUGUAAACCUCUGUCAACAGGGACGCAAAUGACGGUACCUGUGAAGGAAGCUCCGGCUAACUACGUGCCAGCAGCCGCGGUAAUACGUAGGGAGCAAGCGUUAUCCGGAAUUACUGGGUGUAAAGGGAGUGUAGGCGGGACUGUAAGUCAGAUGUGAAAUAUGCCGGCUCAACUGGCAGACUGCAUUUGAAACUGCGGUUCUUGAGUGAAGUAGAGGUAAGCGGAAUUCCUAGUGUAGCGGUGAAAUGCGUAGAUAUUAGGAGGAACAUCAGUGGCGAAGGCGGCUUACGGGGCUUUAACUGACGCUGAGGCUCGAAAGCGUGGGGAGCAAACAGGAUUAGAUACCCUGGUA